UUCCGUCAAGGGCAAACCGUCGAAAGGUAGGGACGCAAAGCCACGGGCCUACGAAGAGACAAGCUCUUCAUAGCAGCCGGGCUGCCGGG
This 89-nucleotide non-coding RNA is filed under the name Thermosediminibacter oceani. Its description in RNAcentral is "c-di-GMP sequence". It matches the Rfam family "c-di-GMP-I riboswitch aptamer". Rfam says of the family: GEMM was predicted in a large-scale screen for bacterial structured RNA regulatory elements. Genes associated with GEMM are involved in a diverse array of functions, including chemotaxis regulation, signal transduction, secretion and chitin. The record is from RNAcentral. Lineage: Bacteria; Bacillati; Bacillota; Clostridia; Thermosediminibacterales; Thermosediminibacteraceae. RNAcentral also lists the same sequence under 1 other name.